GACGAACGCUGGCGGCGUGCCUAACACAUGCAAGUCGAACGGAAAGGCCCUGCUUUCGGGGUACUCGCGUGGCGAACGGGCGGGUAACACGUGGGUGAUCUGCCCUCCACUUCGGGUUAAGCCUCGGAAACUGGGCCUAACUCAGGCCAGAAGCCAUUUUUAGUGUGAUGGUUGGAUAGUUUUGUCGGUGUAGGAUGAGCUCGCGGCCUAUCAGCUUGUUGGAGGGGUUAUGGCCUACCAAGGCGGCGACGGGUAGCCGGCCUGCGAGGGUGGACGGCCACAUUGGGACUGAGAUACGGCCCAGACUCCUACGGGAGGCAGCAGUGGGGAAUAUUGCACAAUGGGCGCAAGCCUGAUGCAGCGACGCCGCGUGGGGGAGGACGGCCUUCGGGUUGUAAACUCCUUUCGCUAGGGACGAAGCUUUUUGUGACGGUACCUAGAGAAGAAGCACCGGCUAACUACGUG
Molecule: ribosomal RNA, 465 nt
Filed under: uncultured bacterium
Lineage: Bacteria
Description: partial 16S ribosomal RNA
Rfam family: Bacterial small subunit ribosomal RNA
Source: RNAcentral